This 389-nucleotide ribosomal RNA is filed under the name Picozoa sp. RNAcentral describes it as "partial small subunit ribosomal RNA". It matches the Rfam family "Eukaryotic small subunit ribosomal RNA", at positions 582 to 975 of the family's 1831-position model. Lineage: Eukaryota; Picozoa. The record is from RNAcentral.
AUUCCAGCUCCAAUAGCGUAUAUUAAAGUUGUUGCAGUUAAAAAGCUCGUAGUCGGAUUUUGGCAUCACGCCGAACUGUCUGCCGAUUGGUAAGUACGGUUUGGCGGGUGCUUCCUUCCGGAGGCUCGUUCCCUUCUUCAUUGAAGGGUUCGUUGGUUCCGGGUCUUUUACUUUGAGAAAAUUAGAGUGUUCAAAGCAGGCCUAUGCUCUGAAUAGGUUAGCAUGGAAUAAUAGAAUAGGACUUUGGUUCUAUUUUGUUGGUUUCUAGGACCGAAGUAAUGAUUAAUAGGGACAGUUGGGGACAUUUAUAUUCCAUGGCUAGAGGUGAAAUUCUUGGAUUCAUGGAAGAUAAACUACUGCGAAAGCAUUUGUCAAAGAUGUUUUCAUCG